RNAcentral lists this ribosomal RNA (425 nucleotides) under uncultured bacterium. RNAcentral describes it as "partial 16S ribosomal RNA". It matches the Rfam family "Bacterial small subunit ribosomal RNA", at positions 354 to 796 of the family's 1533-position model. The record is from RNAcentral.
GUGGGGAAUCUUGCGCAAUGGGCGAAAGCCUGACGCAGCCAUGCCGCGUGAAUGAUGAAGGUCUUAGGAUUGUAAAAUUCUUUCACCGGGGACGAUAAUGACGGUACCCGGAGAAGAAGCACCGGCUAACUUCGUGCCAGCAGCCGCGGUAAUACGAAGGGGGCUAGCGUUGCUCGGAAUUACUGGGCGUAAAGGGCGCGUAGGCGGACAGCUUAGUCAGAGGUGAAAGCCCAGGGCUCAACCUUGGAAUUGCCUUUGAUACUGGCUGUCUUGAGUUUGGGAGAGGUGAGUGGAACUCCGAGUGUAGAGGUGAAAUUCGUAGAUAUUCGGAAGAACACCAGUGGCGAAGGCGACUCACUGGCCCAAUACUGACGCUGAGGCGCGAAAGCGUGGGGAGCAAACAGGAUUAGAUACCCCAGUAGUCC